This 650-nucleotide ribosomal RNA is filed under the name uncultured Armatimonadota bacterium. RNAcentral's name for it is "bacterial SSU rRNA". It matches the Rfam family "Bacterial small subunit ribosomal RNA", at positions 47 to 724 of the family's 1533-position model. The record is from RNAcentral. Lineage: Bacteria; Bacillati; Armatimonadota.
CCUAAUGUAUGCAAGUCGAACGGCCCGCAAGGGUAGUGGCGAACGGUUGAGUAACACGUAGACAACCUGCCUCCAGGUGGGGGAUAACAGCUCGAAAGGGCUGCUAAUACCGCAUAUGGCGCCCCGUGGCAUCACGGGAGGGCUAAAGGAGCAAUUCGCCUGGAGAUGGGUCUGCGGCCUAUCAGCUAGUUGGUGGGGUAACGGCCUACCAAGGCGACGACGGGUAGCUGGUCUGAGAGGAUGAUCAGCCAGACGGGGACUGAGACACGGCCCCGACUCCUUCGGGAGGCAGCAAUGAGGGAUAUUGCACAAUGGGGGAAACCCUGAUGCAGCGACGCCGCGUGGGUGAGGAAGUCCUUCGGGAUGUAAAGCCCUUUUGUGGGGGACGAUACCAGACGGUACCCCACGAAUAAGCCCCGGCUAACUACGUGCCAGCAGCCCGCGGUAAUACGUAGGGGGCAAGCGUUGUCCGGAUUUACUGGGCGUAAAGAGCGCGUAGGCGGAACGUUAAGUCCGGUUUGAAAGCCCCCGGCUCAACCGGGGAGAGUGGCUGGAAACUGGCGUUCUUGAGGGCGGCAGAAGAAAAGUGGAAUUCCUGGUGUAGCGGUGAAAUGCGUAGAUAUCAGGAGGAACACCCGUGGCGAAGGCGG